UACAGAGGUGGCAAGCGUUGUUCGGAAUUACUGGGCGUAAAGCGCGUGUAGGCGGCUCUUCAAGUCAGGCGUGAAAGCCCCGGGCUCAACUCGGGAACUGCGCUUGAUACUGUCGAGCUAGAGUGUGGAAGGGGCGAUUGGAAUUCCCGGUGUAGCGGUGGAAUGCGUAGAGAUCGGGAAGAACAUCAGUGGCGAAGGCGGCCUGCUGGGCUGUUGCUGACGCUGAGGCGCGACAGCGUGGGGAGCAAACAGG
Molecule: ribosomal RNA, 253 nt
Filed under: uncultured bacterium
Lineage: Bacteria
Description: partial 16S ribosomal RNA
Rfam family: Bacterial small subunit ribosomal RNA
Source: RNAcentral